GUUCGAAUGGGGAGAUUCAUCGUCAGCGGAGCUGGCUUCGCGGUGGCUCGUGAUGCUCUGUGUCUUGGUACCCCUUCGAGGGUUCUCGCACUUGCACGCGGCCGUCGCGUUGCGUCCGGCUACUCGUCGGCGUGCACUUCUCCCCUAGUAGGACGUCGCGACCCGUUGGGUGCCGGUCUUAAACGGCCCGGGUGGAAGACUGUCGCACCGUCACCGCGCGCGUGCGGCAGACCCCCGUGUUUGCCAGACACCCGGCUGCCCGGCGGUACGCAUCGAUGGUAUCGGGCCGCAAAACCCUACACUGCGUCGGGCCCAUGUUGUCCGCGGUGUUCAGUUGUCUCACGGUGGAACUCACGGACCUAGCGCCGUCCCCGUGCCUGACCCGCGAUCCAGACGGAUGGUGUCCUCCGACAGGCCAAACUUGCGCGCGCGCCAAAUUAAAAUGAGCGAUACCGGUCGGCGACGCUAUUGCUUUGGGUAAUCUCAGGACCCGUCUUGAAACACGGACCAAGGAGUCUAACAUGUACGCGAGUCAUUGGGACUCUGCAAACCUAAAGGCGAAAUGAAAGUGAAGAUCUGCCCGCCGCUAUGUUCGCGUAUCUCGCGGGGGUUGGUCAGGCGUCGCGCGUCGCGUCGUCGUAUGGCGUCAGCGCGGCACGAUCGAGGGAGGAUGGGUCGCGUCACGAUGCGACUCCGCACUCCCGGGGCGUCUCGCUCUCAUCCGAGGAGAGGCGCACCCAGAGCGUACACGUUGGGACCCGAAAGAUGGUGAACUAUGCCUGGUCAGGACGAAGUCAGGGGAAACCCUGAUGGAGGUCCGUAGCGAUUCUGACGUGCAAAUCG
This 843-nucleotide ribosomal RNA is filed under the name Epyris sp. RNAcentral's name for it is "partial large subunit ribosomal RNA". The stretch from base 402 to 843 matches the Rfam family "Eukaryotic large subunit ribosomal RNA", at positions 1 to 900 of the family's 3401-position model. Lineage: Eukaryota; Metazoa; Arthropoda; Insecta; Hymenoptera; Bethylidae. The record is from RNAcentral.